AAUUUUUAGUUUUUUAAAGCAGCAGAACGUACAUUAUAGAUAAAGCAUAGAUAAAGAUAAGAAUAUGUUGCCGAGUGUUAUUUUUUAUAGAAGGUACAUACUUUUAACAACCGAAAAACCACGACAGCAUGUAAGUAACAAAACGUUAAAAAGAAUUCGCUCAACCUAGAGCAGCGGUUUCCUCUAGCGUAGCGUUUGAUAGCUGAGAAAAGACUGAUGCCACGUUCGAUAUUUAACCGAACGUUCUCCCGACUGCGCAAGUGCAUCAAGAAUAGGAAAAAGUGAUGAUACAAAACGACAUGCUAUCUCGCAAUUAUCGAGAAUUUGCAAAGGAAGUUCCGUAACGAUUUCGAUAAUUGACUCAAUCAUACUUAGGCUUGUGAAAUGUAGAUCGGUUCGUUUUUCUUUUCCUUUUUCUCGAAAUAAGCUCGCCGUUAAUUUCGCUCGAGCUGCACAUUACGGCAAAUAUAAAUCAUUCAAUAGGAACAUGUUGCAUCCCUCAGCACACUUCUCAAAUGAUUUCCAAGAGUCGAAUAAAAACUUCGCGAUGGAGUCAAAAAACAGUUAUUCGUUGUUCAUUCGCGUUUCAUCUUCGACAUGUAUCUGCAGGUUGAGGAGCACUACUACACGAUCAACAAAGCUUUUCUCAAAGCAUUAGGUAUCUGGCCUGUUGACAAAUCGUAUCUUAAUUUACUACAGCAAGUGCUGAUCUUCAUUUUGACCAUAACGUAUAUCGGCAUGCAGGUUGCAGCUUUUAUUACAACGAAAAUUGAUAUCAAUCUCUUUGUUAAAAUUAUGUCAACGACGUUACCUUAUGUGAUAGUUGAAGUGAUAUACUGCAGCUUCAUCUUCAAAUCGGAAACUCUGAUGCAAAUGCACCGUCGAAUCCAGGAAGACUGGGAAAUAUUACAUAGUAAAGCAGAAAAUGAAAUUAUGUUGAAACAUAUUCAGAAAAGCUUAACCUAUGAUAUAAUACUAUUCCUGCUUUCCGGUUUUAUAAUAUUCAUUGGAAUCGUUAUUCAGUUUUAUCCGAUUAUUCUCGAUGUUAUAUCGCCGCUAGAUAAGCCUAGAAUUCACAAACUUAUUAUAUCAGCGGAAUAUUUCACGUCAGAGAAUAAGUAUUUUUACACUAAAGUAUUGCACGAAUUCGUGAUCAUUGUGACGUUUGUCUCCAUAUUAUUAUCUACUGGGACACAACUGUUAACAUUUACCCAUCAUUGCUUGGGCUUGUUUAAGAUUGCCAGUUAUCGUCUGCAUCACUCCAUUGAAGAUAGUAUGUUACGAAUGUCAAAUUUAGAAUGGGAACAUGCAUUUUGCAAGAAGAUAACGCACGCUGUAAUUGCACACCGUAAGGCCAUGGAGUUCGCCGACUUUAUGGUGGCAUCAUUUAACAUAUCAUAUUGCAUAUUAACUAUUAUUGCAGUAAUUUCAUUAAGCUUCAAUAUAUACCAAUUUAUCGAUGCGAUAAAAGUCUCAAAUAACAUAGCGGACAUAUUGCUAUCUUUCUUUAUCUCACUAUUCCAUCUGAUUUAUAUGCUGAUGGCAAAUUAUUUAGGAGAGAUGAUCAGCGAUUAUCAUCGCGAGAUUUUUACGUCAUCAUAUGAUAUAUCGUGGUACGUAAUACCGAUAUCGUCACGAAAACUACUCUUGUUCUUGAUGCAAAAAGCCAGCAAGGAUUUUCACUUCAUGAUCGGCUAUAUAUUUGUGGCAAAGAUACAAAAUUUCGUCACGGUAAGUAAUGCUGAAAACACGAGACAACUCGACCGAGAUGUACAUGAAAUUGAUGUACAUGUUUUUCAGCUCGCGAAUACUGCACUAUCUUAUGUUACCGUGAUGUACUCUGUCCAAAGAUAAAUAAAUAAUCGAUAGAUAAAGCCUUAUCUUCUCUUAGAAAUGCGCACACGCACAGAUGCAAAAUGGACGGAAUUUGCGCUGUAUUAGAGAAAAGUAUACAGACUCAUUUCAGCGCUGCUGUAUGCGUUGCUGCAUGUUG
RNAcentral lists this unclassified non-coding RNA (1993 nucleotides) under Harpegnathos saltator (Jerdon's jumping ant). RNAcentral describes it as "uncharacterized LOC109503777, transcript variant X1". Lineage: Eukaryota; Metazoa; Arthropoda; Insecta; Hymenoptera; Formicidae. The record is from RNAcentral.